Molecule: long non-coding RNA, 2509 nt
Organism: Drosophila mojavensis
Lineage: Eukaryota; Metazoa; Arthropoda; Insecta; Diptera; Drosophilidae
Exons: 2
Source: RefSeq, a predicted model, not a curated record
GUCAACCUUUGGACAUUGGCAUUGACUAAGUGUAAGGUCUGAUUAAGUAAACCUCGGGAGCUUAACCUGCUUAAGGUCUGUGUGAAGCACCUCGAGAGCGAAAAACAUAAACGAAAAGGCGAAGCAAAUAUACCCUUAAAAGCUAAGCUGAUAUUGAUGAGAUAUUAUUUUUCCAAUUCACAUUUUUAAAGAUAGGAAAUAUAGCACAGGGAAGUCUUAGGAAUAGGAUAUCUUAAGAAUAGCAAGAUAGAAGAAUAAGAAUAAGCUAUUAUAUUACUUUAGAUGAGACAGUUCCCAAAUGGAUGCAUCAAUUAUAUAAGCUACACGACUGUAACCUAAGGGAGAGGCAUCUUCUAUGUGUGAUAUAUUAUACACUCCAUGAGAUUACUAAAAAGUGUAAAUAUCUUUUGAAAUAUAACUGCAAAUGGGAGUACAGCAAAUAUUUAAGUUAUAUCAAAACAUAUAUGUAUAUCUAACUAAGUAUAUAUUUAUAUAGACUUUUGUUCAUUUUCUCAGCCCACUUGUCUGCGGAACAUAAAAAAACGCCAUAUGUUGCGUUGAACUGGUUUUAUUGUUGCUGCUGCUGUUGUUGUUGUAGUUGCUGUUGUUGCAGUUGUUGUUGUUGAGUGCAAAAAUAAACAAAAUGUUUUGCGUCUUGACAGCUAUAGCCUUUUCGGCACAUUUCGUCAAGUCGUGUGCAAAAAUGUGACAAUAAAAGACUUGAAAGCAGGCCAACUCAGUCAAAACACGUUCCACACACUCGCAAGCACACACACACACACAGCCGAGUUUAGCCAACUGUUAAAGUUGAUGCUAAAAUGCGUUGACAACUGCUCGAAAUCAACUCCCACAAUCGUCAAAGAUGCACAUUGAAUGCUUCGCUGCGUCGUCGUCGUCAAUGAAAGUGCAACAGAUACUCGCUGUUUCCGAUAUGCCACGCCCAUGACGUCUACCGUCUGCAGUCAGCCGCCCGCCGCCUCUGCCCACAUGUCAACCUCAAUGAACAAUGAGCAAUGAAAUAACUGCAAGUGUCUGUUGAACCAUUUAACUGUAAAUCAACUUUAAUGGAUGUGACUCGCGCUUAGUCCACAAGGGGACAGAGAGCGAGAGGGGGAGGGGGCGUGGCCCAGGCCAAGCUUCAGGAAUGUAGCCGCAUUGUUGACCCCCAAGAAACGCGCUCAAUUGAAUUAAUCUACAAAAAUCUUUGAUUUACUUAAAUAAAGUCUUGGCUUAGUUGCUCCGUAGCUUUGCAGAAAAUCGACAACUGACAAAAGCUACACUGAGAAAAAUAUUGUAUUGAAAUAAGAAAACGAAGCUUUACUCUCUGAUUGAUUGAUUGACUGGAAAUUGGGAAAAGUAUCCCCGUUGAUUGAAUUACAAACUGACUGAUGGACUGACUCACUUACUGAUUGGUUGAUUGAACUAUAAACUAAAUGAAACCUCCACUGGCUGCCCCUCGGCUUACCCUCGCAUUGAUGUCCGACGUACUGACUGAUCGUCUACUUAGCUACUAACUGAUUGACGAUCAAUGAUGGAUGAACUAAGCUAAAACUUACUUCAGAGCUUGCCUGCUCUUAAUACCUCAAUUGAUCACCUUCGCCCAGACCCCAUUUCCACUUAAUUAUAGACUUAGCUUAGCUUAGAUAGAGCGUUUAACUAGCUUGCAUUGCUCAGCCAAUUCUUAUGAAUAAUAAAUUAUUAUCUAAAAGGCCCACACGAAGCAGAAGCACGAAUGAAUUUCCAAUGAAAUUUCCUGAUUAGCUAUUAUAAGGGCAGCUCGUAUAUUUAAAUUAUUUUUAUUUUUAUUAUUAUAAUUUUAUUGCUUAUUUCUUGGCAUUCACACGAAAGUGAGUCACAAUAGCGACGAUAAUCCCCAUUGCAAAUUAACUGUUUGUUGCUAUAUUUUAGAACAAAUAAACGGUUUCACAAAAGUAUUGUUGACCUUCGCAAAUAAAAUAAAUAAUAAUAAAUACAAAAUUUCAAGUGAAACACUCAAAGCGUUGCUAAAUUACUUCCCCAACAGCAACAACAACUUGAAGUAAGAAACAUAACUUCGUUUUUUCCGCUCAUGAAUCAACUGCAAAAAACUCAAUUUAAAAGCGUACAAAAUUGUUGUUUUUUUAUUUUAAAUUUUUUUUUUUUUUUUUUUUUAGGGAGUCUAUUGCAUUCCGAGUUUUAGCUAAAAACAGAACCGUCAUAAAACUUUUUGAAAGCCAAUAAACAAAAGAUCAAUCAUUUGAUAAAGAAAACAUGAACAAGCAUUAAACAACAACAAUAAAAGAAGAACAUAAUCAACAAGGGAAUCAUAAAUGUCGCAGUCAAAAAAUAUCAAAACACUUUAGUGUUGCAAAGUGCCACAAAGCGAAUGCCAGACGAAGAAAGCAAGACGAUGGCAGUGCCUGAGAAUGAUAUACCUCAACUCUAAUUUUAGAUGGAAUGGUGCAAGUGGAUAUAUAUUUAAAAUUGUAGAAUUUUUAUAUAUACGAAUAGAUUUAGAUUGUCUUAACUA